UAAUACGGAGGAUCCAAGCGUUAUCCGGAAUCAUUGGGUUUAAAGGGUCCGUAGGUGGAUAAUUAAGUCAGAGGUGAAAUCCUGCAGCUCAACUGUAGAAUUGCCUUUGAUACUGGUUAUCUUGAAUUAUUAUGAAGUAGUUAGAAUAUGUAGUGUAGCGGUGAAAUGCAUAGAUAUUACAUAGAAUACCAAUUGCGAAGGCAGAUUACUAAUAAUAUAUUGACACUGAUGGACGAAAGCGUGGGGAGCGAACAGGAUUAGAUACCCUGGUAGUCCACGCCGUAAACGAUGGUCACUAGCUGUUUGGACUUCGGUCUGAGUGGCUAAGCGAAAGUGAUAAGUGACCCACCUGGGGAGUACGUUCGCAAGAAUG
This 373-nucleotide ribosomal RNA is filed under the name uncultured Bacteroidota bacterium. RNAcentral's name for it is "bacterial SSU rRNA". It matches the Rfam family "Bacterial small subunit ribosomal RNA", at positions 521 to 896 of the family's 1533-position model. The record is from RNAcentral. Lineage: Bacteria; Pseudomonadati; Bacteroidota.